AGAGUUUGAUCCUGGCUCAGAUUGAACGCUGGCGGCAGGCCUAACACAUGCAAGUCGAGCGGUAGCACAGAGAGCUUGCUCUCGGGUGACGAGCGGCGGACGGGUGAGUAAUGUCUGGGAAACUGCCUGAUGGAGGGGGAUAACUACUGGAAACGGUAGCUAAUACCGCAUAACGUCGCAAGACCAAAGUGGGGGACCUUCGGGCCUCAUGCCAUCAGAUGUGCCCAUAUGGGAUUAGCUAGUUGGUGAGGUAAUGGCUCACCAAGGCGACGAUCCCUAGCUGGUCUGAGAGGAUGAUCAGCCACACUGGGACUGAGACACGGCCCAGACUCCUACGGGAGGCAGCAGUGGGGAAUAUUGCACAAUGGGCGCAAGCCUGAUGCAGCCAUGCCGCGUGUGUGAAGAAGGCCUUCGGGUUGUAAAGCACUUUCAGCGGGGAGGAAGGCAUUAAGGUUAAUAACCUUAGUGAUUGACGUUACCCGCAGAAGAAGCACCGGCUAACUCCGUGCCAGCAGCCGCGGUAAUAC
This 527-nucleotide ribosomal RNA is filed under the name uncultured bacterium. RNAcentral's name for it is "bacterial SSU rRNA". It matches the Rfam family "Bacterial small subunit ribosomal RNA", at positions 8 to 526 of the family's 1533-position model. The record is from RNAcentral.